CCGAAUAGGGGAGCCGGAGGGAAACCGAGUCUUAAUUGGGCGUUAAGUUGCAGGGUAUAGACCCGAAACCCGGUGAUCUAGCCAUGGGCAGGUUGAAGGUUGGGUAACACUAACUGGAGGACCGAACCGACUAAUGUUGAAAAAUUAGCGGAUGACCUGUGGCUGGGGGUGAAAGGCCAAUCAAACCGGGAGAUAGCUGGUUCUCCCCGAAAGCUAUUUAGGUAGCGCCUCGUGAAUUCAUCUCCGGGGGUAGAGCACUGUUUCGGCUAGGGGGCCAUCCCGGCUUACCAACCCGAUGCAAACUGCGAAUACCGGAGAAUGUUAUCACGGGAGACACACGGCGGGUGCUAACGUCCGUCGUGAAGAGGGAAACAACCCAGACCGCCAGCUAAGGUCCCAAAGUCAUGGUUAAGUGGGAAACGAUGUGGGAAGGCCCAGACAGCCAGGAUGUUGGCUUAGAAGCAGCCAUCAUUUAAAGAAAGCGUAAUAGCUCACUGGUCGAGUCGGCCUGCGCGGAAGAUGUAACGGGGCUAAACCAUGCACCGAAGCUGCGGCAGCGACACUGUGUGUUGUUGGGUAGGGGAGCGUUCUGUAAGCCUGUGAAGGUGUGUCGUGAGGC
This 619-nucleotide ribosomal RNA is filed under the name Salmonella enterica subsp. enterica serovar Enteritidis. RNAcentral's name for it is "partial 23S ribosomal RNA". It matches the Rfam family "Bacterial large subunit ribosomal RNA", at positions 653 to 1269 of the family's 2925-position model. Lineage: Bacteria; Pseudomonadati; Pseudomonadota; Gammaproteobacteria; Enterobacterales; Enterobacteriaceae. The record is from RNAcentral.